RNAcentral lists this ribosomal RNA (460 nucleotides) under uncultured bacterium. RNAcentral's name for it is "partial 16S ribosomal RNA". It matches the Rfam family "Bacterial small subunit ribosomal RNA", at positions 338 to 795 of the family's 1533-position model. The record is from RNAcentral.
CCUACGGGAUGCAGCAGUGAGGAAUAUUGGUCAAUGGACGAGAGUCUGAACCAGCCAAGUAGCGUGAAGGAUGACUGCCCUAUGGGUUGUAAACUUCUUUUAUAUGGGAAUAAAAUGUUCCACGUGUGGGAUUUUGUAUGUACCAUAUGAAUAAGGAUCGGCUAACUCCGUGCCAGCAGCCGCGGUAAUACGGAGGAUCCGAGCGUUAUCCGGAUUUAUUGGGUUUAAAGGGAGCGUAGGUGGAUUGUUAAGUCAGUUGUGAAAGUUUGCGGCUCAACCGUAAAAUUGCAGUUGAAACUGGCAGUCUUGAGUACAGUAUAGGUGGGCGGAAUUCGUGGUGUAGCGGUGAAAUGCUUAGAUAUCACGAAGAACUCCGAUUGCGAAGGCAGUUCACUGGACUGCAACUGACACUGAGGCUCGAAAGUGUGGGUAUCAAACAGGAUUAGAUACCCGAGUAGUC